ACGAACGCUGGCGGCGUGCUUCACACAUGCCAGUCGAACGGAAAGGCCUGCUUUCCCUUGUGGAUUGCGGGUACUCGAGUGGCGAACGGGUGAGUAACACGUGAGUGAUCUGCCCCCAACUUGGGUAUAAGCCUGGGAAACUGGGUCUAAUUCCCGAUAGGACUGCAGGGUGGUGCCUGUGGUGGAAAACGAUUUUCUAGUGGUUGGGGAUGAGCUCGCGGCCUAUCAGCUUGUUGGUGGGGUAAUGGCCUACCAAGGCGGCGACGGGUAGCCGGCCUGAGAGGGUGGACGGCCACAUUGGGACUGGGACACGGCCCAGACGCCUACGGGAGGCAGCAGUGGGGAAUAUUGCACAAUGGGCGGAAGCCUGAUGCAGCGACGCCGCGUGGGGGAUGACGGCCUUCGGGUUGUAAACUCCUUUCGACCGCGAGGAAGCCACCUGGUUGGAAGGGUGGUGACGGUAGUGGUAGAAGAAGCACCGGCUAACUACGUG
Molecule: ribosomal RNA, 493 nt
Filed under: uncultured bacterium
Lineage: Bacteria
Description: partial 16S ribosomal RNA
Rfam family: Bacterial small subunit ribosomal RNA
Source: RNAcentral